Molecule: ribosomal RNA, 440 nt
Filed under: uncultured bacterium
Lineage: Bacteria
Description: partial 16S ribosomal RNA
Rfam family: Bacterial small subunit ribosomal RNA
Source: RNAcentral
CCUACGGUGGACAGCAGUGGGGAAUAUUGCACAAUGGGGGAAACCCUGAUGCAGCAAAGCCGCGUGAGUGAAGAAGUCAUUCGUGAUGUAAAGCUCUAUCAGCAGGGAAGAAAAUGACGGUACCUGACUAAGAAGCCCCGGCUAAAUACGUGCCAGCAGCCGCGGUAAUACGUAGGGGGCAAGCGUUAUCCGGAUUUACUGGGUGUAAAGGGAGCGUAGACGGCGAGGCAGAUCUGAAGUGAAAUGCCAGUGCUCAACACUGGACCUGCUUUGGAAACUGUGUGGCUAGAGUGCAGGAGAGGUAAGGGGAAUUCCUAGUGUAGCUGUGAAAUGCGUAGAUAUUACGCGGACCACCAGUUGCGAAGGCGGCUUACUGGACUUUAACUGACGUUGAGGCUCGAAGGCGUGGGGAGCAAACAGGAUUAGAUACCCUGGUAGUC